GGUGAGAUGGCCGAGUGGUUAUGGCGCUGCGUUCAGGUAAAAUUCUGAACAUUUCCUUUGCUUUCCUUUCGGAAAAUGUGAAAGAGAGAAAAAAAUUCGCAGUGGAGCAAUCCGCGUGGGUUCGAGUCCCACUCUCAUCA
Xylariaceae sp. FL0594 is the source of this 140-nucleotide non-coding RNA. Lineage: Eukaryota; Fungi; Ascomycota; Sordariomycetes; Xylariales; Xylariaceae. The record is from the annotation of a GenBank genome assembly.